Molecule: ribosomal RNA, 405 nt
Filed under: uncultured bacterium
Lineage: Bacteria
Description: partial 16S ribosomal RNA
Rfam family: Bacterial small subunit ribosomal RNA
Source: RNAcentral
GAUGAACGCUGGCGGCGUGCCUAAUACAUGCAAGUCGAGCGAAGCGGGGACGGGUGAGUAACACGUGGAUAACCUCCUAUAAGACUGGGAUAACAGCGGGAAACCGGAGCUACACCGGAUACUAAUAGAUGGAUCCGCGCUGCAUUAGCUAGUUGGGAAGGUAACGGCUUACAAAGGCAACGAUGCAUAGCCGACCUGAGAGCGGUAUGGGCCACACUGGAACUGAGACACGGGCCAGACUCCUACGGGAGGCAGCAGUAGGGAAUCUUCCGCAAUGGGCGAAAGCCUGACGGAGCCACGCCGCGUGAGUGAUGAAGUUCUUCGGAUCGUAAAACUCUGUUAUUAGGGAAGCGUUACCUAAUCAGAAAGCCACGGCUAACUACGUGCCAGCAGCCGCGGUAAUAC